GACGAACGCUGGCGGCGUGCUUAACACAUGCAAGUCGAACGGUGAAGCGCUUGCCUUUUUGGUGGGUGUGGAUGAGUGGCGAACGGGUGAGUAACACGUGAGUAACCUGCCCUCUUCUUCUGGAUAACCUCAUGAAAGUGGGGCUAAUACGGGGUAUUCCGGGUCUGUCGCAUGGCGGGUUUGGGAAAGAUUGCGCCUUUGGGUGUUUUCGGUGGGGGAUGGGCUCGCGGCCUAUCAGCUUGUUGGUGGGGUGAUGGCCUACCAAGGCGGUGACGGGUAGCCGGCCUGAGAGGGUGGACGGCCACACUGGGACUGAGACACGGCCCAGACGCCUGCGGGAGGCAGCAGUGGGGAAGAUUGCACAAGGGGCGCAAGCCUGAUGCAGCGACGCCGCGUGAGGGAUGGAGGCCUUCGGGUUGUGAACCUCUUUCGCCAGUGAAGCAGGCCUGCUCCUGUGUGGGUGGGUUGACGGUAGCUGGAUAAGAAGCGCCGGCUAACUACGUG
Molecule: ribosomal RNA, 504 nt
Filed under: uncultured bacterium
Lineage: Bacteria
Description: partial 16S ribosomal RNA
Rfam family: Bacterial small subunit ribosomal RNA
Source: RNAcentral